UACGGAGGAGGCUAGCGUUAUCCGGAUUUAUUGGGCGUAAAGCGUCCGCAGGCGGUUUGUCAAGUCUGCUGUCAAAGCGCGAAGCUCAACUUCGUAAAGGCAGUGGAAACUGAUGAACUUGAGGGUGAAAGGGGCAGAGGGAAUUCCCAGUGUAGCGGUGAAAUGCGUAGAGAUUGGGAAGAACACCGGUGGCGAAAGCGCCCUGCUGGGUCACACCUGACACUGAGGGACGAAAGCUAGGGGAGCGAAAGGG
Molecule: ribosomal RNA, 253 nt
Filed under: uncultured bacterium
Lineage: Bacteria
Description: partial 16S ribosomal RNA
Rfam family: Bacterial small subunit ribosomal RNA
Source: RNAcentral